This 401-nucleotide ribosomal RNA is filed under the name uncultured bacterium. RNAcentral's name for it is "bacterial SSU rRNA". It matches the Rfam family "Bacterial small subunit ribosomal RNA", at positions 142 to 518 of the family's 1533-position model. The record is from RNAcentral.
GUAAUAACGCCGAAAGGGGUACGUAAUACCGGAUAUUCUUUGCUUUUCUAUAAGUUAUAGCAAGCAAAGGUGGCCUCUGCAUAUGCUACUGCAUGAAGAGGGGUCUGCGUACCAUUAGCUAGUAGGUGGGGUAAUGGCCUACCUAGGCGACGAUGGUUAGCGGGUCUGAGAGGAUGAUCCGCCACACUGGCACUGGAACACGGGCCAGACUCCUACGGGAGGCAGCAGUGAGGAAUAUUGCGCAAUGGGGGAAACCCUGACGCAGCGACGCCGCGUGAGUGAAGGAAGGCCUUCGGGUCGUAAAGCUCUGUCAAGAGGAAAGAAGUGUACAAUGGCUAAUACCUGUUGUAUUUGACGGUACCUCUAAAGGAAGCACCGGCUAACUCCGUGCCAGCAGCCGC